GUGAGGAAUUUUCCGCAAUGGGCGAAAGCCUGACGGAGCAAUGCCGCGUGAAGGAUGAAGGCCUAUGGGUUGUAAACUUCUUUUCUCAGAAAAGAAUUAUGACGGUAUCUGAGGAAUAAGCAUCGGCUAACUCUGUGCCAGCAGCCGCGGUAAGACAGAGGAUGCAAGCGUUAUCCGGAAUGAUUGGGCGUAAAGCGUCUGUAGGUUGUUUAAAAAGUAUGCUGUCAAAGAUUAGGGCUUAACCCUAGAUAGGCAGAAUAAACUUUUAAGCUAGAGUUUGGUAGAGGCAGAGGGAAUUCCCGGUGGAGCGGUGAAAUGCGUAGAUAUCGGGAGGAACACCAAAGGCGAAGGCACUCUGCUGGGCCAAUACUAACACUGAGAGACGAAAGCGAGGGGAGCAAAUGGGAUUAGAAACCCGGGUAGUCC
This 426-nucleotide ribosomal RNA is filed under the name uncultured bacterium. RNAcentral's name for it is "partial 16S ribosomal RNA". It matches the Rfam family "Bacterial small subunit ribosomal RNA", at positions 354 to 796 of the family's 1533-position model. The record is from RNAcentral.